This 442-nucleotide long non-coding RNA is filed under the name Capsicum annuum. RNAcentral's name for it is "long non-coding RNA (CANN_LNC016687)". Lineage: Eukaryota; Viridiplantae; Streptophyta; Magnoliopsida; Solanales; Solanaceae. The record is from RNAcentral.
UUUAGUAUUUCUUAUGUAUUAAAAAAGAUCUAGAGAUAAAAGAAAUACAAUAUUACAAUAUUUUUGUGUUAUUUAAUUAAUUUAUCACGUUUCAAAAUAUUGCUUAUAUCAAUUCAGUGAUGUUUAUAUGGAAAAGUUAAAUUUUGAAAAAAUAAAUAUCUUUAAUUUCAUAAUUUAAGUUAAUUUGUGUGCUAAUUUGAAAAAGUUAAUUUAUAGUUUACAUCUUAUUUCUAUUAUAUGGAAAAUUUGACCUCAUAUGGCUAUUUAUAGCCAUUGAAUAACACAAAAUAUUUGUUACACUUUUCUUCUCUCUCUCAUGGGUAUUUCUCAAGUUUUUCAUUAUGAGUAUGUAAAUAUUCACUUGCCAUAUUUCUGGAUCCUUGUAAAUAUUCACUUGCCAUAUAAAGAUCCUUGUAAAUAUUUACUUACAAUUUAUAGAUCC